ACGAACCGUCCGAACGUUAUUCGGUAUCACUGGGCUUAAAGAGUUCGUAGGCGGCCUGUUAGGUCAGGUGUGAAAUCCCACAGCUCAACUGUGGAACUGCGCUUGAAACCGGCAGGCUCGAGGGAGAUAGAGGUGAGCGGAACAGAUGGUGGAGCGGUGAAAUGCGUUGAUAUCAUCUGGAACACCGGUGGCGAAAGCGGCUCACUGGAUCUCUUCUGACGCUGAGGAACGAAAGCUAGGGUAGCGAACGGG
Molecule: ribosomal RNA, 252 nt
Filed under: uncultured bacterium
Lineage: Bacteria
Description: partial 16S ribosomal RNA
Rfam family: Bacterial small subunit ribosomal RNA
Source: RNAcentral